UCAACUUAUGGAGACUCACCAUAGUCUGGCC
Molecule: non-coding RNA, 31 nt
Filed under: Homo sapiens (human)
Lineage: Eukaryota; Metazoa; Chordata; Mammalia; Primates; Hominidae
Source: RNAcentral